Molecule: long non-coding RNA, 768 nt
Organism: Physeter macrocephalus (sperm whale)
Lineage: Eukaryota; Metazoa; Chordata; Mammalia; Artiodactyla; Physeteridae
Exons: 3
Source: RefSeq, a predicted model, not a curated record
GCCUUGAAGACCAUAUGCACGGAAAGACCAGACUAGCCUGUAGAAAAGAGCUGGUAGAAGAUGGAGACUCUCACUAUAAAGUAUCUUUUGUUCUAUGGGGUUCCUGUCUGCAAGUCACAUGUUGGUCAUUGCAGCUAGUACCAGCACCUGAAAAAUAAGAAAGACUUUUUAAAAAAAUAAAAAGGCUUUUCCUCCAAAUGCCAUCACUGUAUUUUUUACUGCAGCUCAGUGACGAUAUUCUUCACCAUAAUCAAAUUGGUCAGUUAUUGCCUACACCUCAUGUUUGAUAAAGGAGAAGUGAUUCAGCAAAGGCCCUCCAGAAAGAAAGAAAAGCCAAAUAAAGAAAAAGAGGCCAUCAGUGACCACAUAACCAAUCAUAAAAAUGCAGGCAAUAAUGGGCGGAUUAACAACGGCAAAAAGGAAGAGGCCAGUGGAACCCUCUCCACGCCUCCCCUCCACGGCAGCUCCAGAGGACAGAGGAUAAACCCUCAUCACUCAUCUGGGCUCCUGGUUAGUGGUCUGUUUUCUGUGUCACUCUCCUCAUGCUGCUGGAGUGUUGAUCAUGGAAGUGUGAAAUGGUGGUGACUGCAACUUAGGUGCACUGGUUGUAAAUACUGGCCUUUGGGUGGAAAUGACCUGAGGGGAGCACAUGCACCAUGAGAUAAACACCCAGUCACCCCUUCCAGGCACACCCACCGGCCUUCUCUGCAGUCUGCCUGCCCUGCUGGGACUGCACCGUGGCCAGAAGAACCCAUAAGCACACCUUCA